This 72-nucleotide transfer RNA is filed under the name Bos taurus (domestic cattle). It matches the Rfam family "tRNA". From Rfam's summary of the family: Transfer RNA (tRNA) molecules are approximately 80 nucleotides in length. Lineage: Eukaryota; Metazoa; Chordata; Mammalia; Artiodactyla; Bovidae. The record is from Rfam by way of RNAcentral.
UCUACGGUGGCUCAGAUGGUAAAGCGUCUGCCUACAAUGCAGGAGAUCUGGGUUCGAUCCCUGGGUGGGGAA